This 1087-nucleotide long non-coding RNA is filed under the name Zostera marina. RNAcentral describes it as "long non-coding RNA (ZMAR_LNC001394)". Lineage: Eukaryota; Viridiplantae; Streptophyta; Magnoliopsida; Alismatales; Zosteraceae. The record is from RNAcentral.
GCCAACUUGGAACAACUCCAUCAAAAAUACCAAUAUCUCAUAAUUCUAAAAACUCUGACACUGAUACACCACUAAAAGAUCCUUCUGUUGGAUCGAGAUCCGAGGCUAUAAGGGGGGAUAAUAGCCUCUUUUCGAUUUAUGCAAGUUAAUAGCGGAAUUACCUACACACACUUAUGUACACAAAUAGUUGUAUAAUAAUAAUAGUAUAAUAUUGUUAGCAAUACAAUACUAUUAUAUAAUUUUAAAGAAUAUAAUAUUAUAUCUUAUAAUAUUAUAUGUAUUGGACUUGCCUUUUGCUCUUGAAGUUUACUACAGUAUAUGAAUACGUAGUCAACUUUUCAGAUGGUGUUUUAUAAACAACUAUAAUAUAUGAAUACUAAGUUAUAUUAUAAACACAAGUUAUAUUAUAAAGUAAAUGACCAGAUAACUAGAUAUAUUGAUAAGCAAGUAAAUGACCAGAUAACUGGAUAUAUUGAUAAACAAGUAAAUGACCAGAUAACUGGAUAUAUAUAUGAUAAGUAAAUGCUUGAACAAAUAUAUGAAUAAAGAUUUAAAGCAAUGAAUAUAACCUCAGAUAGUUGACCAGAUAACUGGAUGAGGAAUCUGCGUAAAGUAGUCAACCUCUGUAUUUGACCAGAUAACUGGAAGAGGAAUCCUUUUCAAUUAAGUGUUGUUUAGUUGUUUUUAGAUGAAAGAUAAAAACUAGAGUUAACAAAGAACAACACAAGAGAUUUAUACUGGUUCACCCAAACAAGGGCUAGUCAAGUCCCGACCAACUGUCGGAAUUCACUCGCCUAAAGGUUAUGGCAAAACCUUAGAGUAUCAAGGAAACUCUUAAGAACCUCUCUAAGCUUUAAGGCUACUUCGCUUAGGAACCAGUCUUUUACGGGUAGACUCACACCUUAGAGUAUCAAAGGCACUCUUAAGAACCUCUAACUUUUGCGGGUAAGUUAGUACCUUAGAGUAUCAAUGAACUCUUAAAAACCUCUCUAAGCUUUAAGGCUACUUCGCUUAGGAACCAGUCUUUAACGGGUAGACUCACACCUUAGAGUAUCAAGGGCACUCUUAAGAACCUCUAACUUUUACG